RNAcentral lists this ribosomal RNA (498 nucleotides) under Salmonella enterica subsp. enterica serovar Typhi str. CT18. RNAcentral's name for it is "partial 23S ribosomal RNA". It matches the Rfam family "Bacterial large subunit ribosomal RNA", at positions 2445 to 2925 of the family's 2925-position model. Lineage: Bacteria; Pseudomonadati; Pseudomonadota; Gammaproteobacteria; Enterobacterales; Enterobacteriaceae. The record is from RNAcentral.
UCGCUCAACGGAUAAAAGGUACUCCGGGGAUAACAGGCUGAUACCGCCCAAGAGUUCAUAUCGACGGCGGUGUUUGGCACCUCGAUGUCGGCUCAUCACAUCCUGGGGCUGAAGUAGGUCCCAAGGGUAUGGCUGUUCGCCAUUUAAAGUGGUACGCGAGCUGGGUUUAGAACGUCGUGAGACAGUUCGGUCCCUAUCUGCCGUGGGCGCUGGAGAACUGAGGGGGGCUGCUCCUAGUACGAGAGGACCGGAGUGGACGCAUCACUGGUGUUCGGGUUGUCAUGCCAAUGGCACUGCCCGGUAGCUAAAUGCGGAAGAGAUAAGUGCUGAAAGCAUCUAAGCACGAAACUUGCCCCGAGAUGAGUUCUCCCUGAGACUUUAGGUCUCCUGAAGGAACGUUGAAGACGACGACGUUGAUAGGCCGGGUGUGUAAGCGCAGCGAUGCGUUGAGCUAACCGGUACUAAUGAACCGUGAGGCUUAACCUUACAACGCCGAAG